UGAGUACGAGAUGCUACGGCAUCGAAGCAGUCUAUGUCAUACUUCCAAGAAGAGCUUGCACUGUCAUAAACAAAGAAUGCCUGUACCAUAACCGACACAGGUGGGUAGGUAGAGUAUACUAAGGGGCGCGAGAUAACUCUCUCUAAGGAACUCGGCAAAAUGACUCCGUAACUUCGGGAGAAGGAGUGCCUUAUUUCUAAGGUUGCAAUAACAAGAUCCAAGCAACUGUUUACCAAAAACACAGGUCUCCGCUAAGUCGUAAGACGAUGUAUGGGGGCUGACGCCUGCCCAGUGCCAGAAGGUUAAAGAAGUUGGUUAGCAUUAGCGAAGCUGAUAACUGAAGCCCUGGUGAACGGCGGCCGUAACUAUAACGUCCUAAGGUAGCGAAAUUCCUUGUCGGGUAAGUUCCGACCCGCACGAAAGGCGUAAUGAUUUGGAUACUGUCUCGGAGAGGGGCUCGGUGAAAUAGACUUGUCUGUGAAGAUGCGGACUACCUGCACCUGGACAGAAAGACCCUAUGAAGCUUUACUGUAACUUGAGAUUGAAAUUGGACUUUAUUUGCGCAGUAUAGGUGGGAGGCGUUGAGAAUAAUCUUGCGGGAUUGUUGGAGCCAUCAGUGAGAUACCACUCUUGUAAUGUUAGAUUUCUAACUUUGUAUCAUUAUCUGGUCAAAGAACAGUUUCAGGCGGGCAGUUUGACUGGGGCGGUCGCCUCCCAAAGGGUAACGGAGGCGCACAAAGGUUUCCUCUGAACGGGUAGAAAUCGUAUCUAGAGUGUAAAGGCAUAAGGAAGCUUGACUGUGAGACCUACAAGUCGAGCAGGGACGAAAGUCGGUCUUAGUGAUCUGACGGUGCUGAGUGGAAAGGCCGUCACUCAACGGAUAAAAGUUACUCUAGGAUAACAGGCUGAUCUCCCCCAAGAGUUCACAUCGACGGGGAGGUUUGGCACCUCGAUGUCGGCUCAUCGCAUCCUGGGGCGGUAGUCCGUCCCAAGGGUUGGGCUGUUCGCCCAUGAAAGCGGUACGCGAGCUGGGUUCAGAACGUCGUGAGACAGUUCGGUCCAUAUCCGGUGUAGGCGUUAGAAUAUUGAGAGGAGCCUUCUCUAGUACGAGAGGACCGAGAAGGACAUACCUCUGGUGUACCAGUUAUCGUGCCAACGGUAAACGCUGGGUAGCUAUGUAUGGAGUGGAUAACCGCUGAAAGCAUCUAAGUGGGAAGCCCACCUCAAGAUAAGUAUUCUCAUC
RNAcentral lists this ribosomal RNA (1243 nucleotides) under metagenome. RNAcentral's name for it is "bacterial LSU rRNA". It matches the Rfam family "Bacterial large subunit ribosomal RNA", at positions 1564 to 2818 of the family's 2925-position model. The record is from RNAcentral.